GCAAGUCGAGCGGUGAGGAAGAUCUUGCUUCUUUGCUGACCGCGGCGGACGGGUGACUAAUACUUGUGAACUUGCCUUUGGAUGGGGAUAACCGCUGGAAACUGUGGCUAAUACCGUCCAAUGUCUACGGACCAGAGCCCGGGCUCUUCUGACCUUGCACCUAAACAUAGGCCCAAGCGAGAUUAGCUAGUUGGUGGGGUAAAGGCCCACCAAGGCGACGAUCUCUAGCUGUUCUGAGAGGAUGAUCACCCACACUGGGACUGAGACACGGCCCCUACUCCUACGGGAGGCGGGGAGGGGAAUAUUGCACAAUGGGGGAAACCCUGAUGCGCCCAUGCCGCGUGUGUGAAGAAGGCCUUUGGGUUGUAAAGCACUUUCAGAGGUGAGGAAGGCCUUAAUAUUAAUACUCUUGCGACAUUGCCGUUAACCACAGAACCGGCCCGGCUAACUCCGUGC
This 456-nucleotide ribosomal RNA is filed under the name bacterium 2611-S5-01-1. RNAcentral's name for it is "bacterial SSU rRNA". It matches the Rfam family "Bacterial small subunit ribosomal RNA", at positions 57 to 508 of the family's 1533-position model. The record is from RNAcentral.